GUGAGUGUGAGCGCGACCACAGCCCGGCAGGUCCCGAGGCGCUAGCUGGGACUCUGCCACGGAAAGUUCCCAGUCCCCGGCCGCAGGAUGGGAAGGUCCCUUGGGGCUUCCUGGUAAUGAAUGACCUGAGAGCAACACCGCCACAACCUGCGGGAAAAGGAGAGUCGUUUCCCCGACCCCGAGAUCUGAAGGAUUGAAAUGACACGUUUUGAGGUCUUCAAGCUGACUCAUCAGAAUCCUGGAGCAUUUUUUAAAUGACGGAAGAAAGUCAUUCCUCUUCCUGUUUCAUGUCUCUGUACAAAACUCCAGCUGGAAAAGUGCUGAGGAGUAAUAUCCUGAAUAAAGUAAUAGGGAUAUUGAUCAGGAGUCCCCAGUGUAUUACCCUCCUUCUUUUUCCUGAAGAUCAAAGAACCAAAGCUGCUGCUCAAAUAAAAC
Lagenorhynchus albirostris (white-beaked dolphin) is the source of this 435-nucleotide long non-coding RNA. RefSeq lists it as uncharacterized. The record is from RefSeq and is a predicted model, not a curated record. NCBI's taxonomy places the organism in Eukaryota, Metazoa, Chordata, Mammalia, Artiodactyla, Delphinidae. The transcript has 5 exons.